UAGGGAAUCUUCGGCAAUGGACGAAAGUCUGACCGAGCAACGCCGCGUGAGUGAAGAAGGUUUUCGGAUCGUAAAACUCUGUUGUUAGAGAAGAACAAGGACGUUAGUAACUGAACGUCCCCUGACGGUAUCUAACCAGAAAGCCACGGCUAACUACGUGCCAGCAGCCGCGGUAAUACGUAGGUGGCAAGCGUUGUCCGGAUUUAUUGGGCGUAAAGCGAGCGCAGGCGGUUUCUUAAGUCUGACGUGAAAGCCCCCGGCUCAACCGGGGAGGGUCAUUGGAAACUGGGAGACUUGAGUGCAGAAGGGGAGAGUCGAAUUCCAUGUGUAGCGGUGAAAUGCGUAGAUAUAUGGGGGAACACCAGUGGCGAAGGCGGCUCUCUGGUCUGUAACUGACGCUGAGGCUCGAAAGCGUGGGGAGCAAACAGG
RNAcentral lists this ribosomal RNA (429 nucleotides) under Chloroflexota bacterium. Its description in RNAcentral is "Chloroflexi bacterium partial 16S ribosomal RNA". It matches the Rfam family "Bacterial small subunit ribosomal RNA", at positions 355 to 776 of the family's 1533-position model. The record is from RNAcentral. Lineage: Bacteria; Bacillati; Chloroflexota.